UGUAAAGUCUAGCCUGCCCAGUGACAAUUGAGUUUAACGGCCGCGGUAGCAUGACCGUGCUAAGGUAGCAUAAUCAUUUGUCCUUUAAUUGAGGACUGGUAUAAACGGCUGCACAAGAAAUUGUCUGUCUCUACUAUAAAAUUUGAAAUUCACAUUUAAGUGAAAAGGCUUAAAUGGAAUAGGGGGACGAUAAGACCCUAUAAAUCUUUACAAUUAAGGCUUUAGUUAUUAGAAAGUAGUUAUGGAUCUAAAUCUAAGGUUUAAAUUGUUUUGUUGGGGCGACAGAAGUAUAAUAAGUAACUGCUUUGGGUUUCAUAUUAAUUGUUUUUAUUAUGGUUAGCUUAAAAGAUCCUCCUUUGGAGAUCACAGACUAAGUUACUUUAGGGAUAACAGCGUAAUCUUUCUUGAGAGUUCAUAUCGAAAGAAGGGUUUGCGACCUCGAUGUUGAAUUAAAGAACCUUUAUGGUGUAGCCGCUAUAAGAGGAGGUCUGUUCGACCUUUAAAUCUUUACAUGAUUUGAGUUCAGACCGGCGUGAGCCAGGUCGGUUUCUUAUCUCCUAUUUAUAAAUUGGCUCUUUUAGUACGAAAGGAUCAAGGAGCCGAAAUAUUUUGGGUUGUUUAAUGUUACUUCUGGCAGAAGAUAUGCGUUAGAUUUAGGAUCUGAUAAUAUAGAAUUUUUGGUCGAUAGGUAAUAUGUUGGCAGGUGUAUGGUAUUAAUGUGCAAGCUGGUGAUUUUUAUUGUAUCCAUUUUAAAGUAUCUUAUUCUGAUUAUUUGUGUUUUGGUCAGGGGGCUUUUGUCACGUUGCUGGAGCGGAAAGUG
Molecule: ribosomal RNA, 820 nt
Filed under: Panulirus argus (Caribbean spiny lobster)
Lineage: Eukaryota; Metazoa; Arthropoda; Malacostraca; Decapoda; Palinuridae
Description: partial 16S ribosomal RNA
Rfam family: Bacterial large subunit ribosomal RNA (bases 1-577)
Source: RNAcentral